Lasiosphaeris hirsuta is the source of this 86-nucleotide non-coding RNA. NCBI's taxonomy places the organism in Eukaryota, Fungi, Ascomycota, Sordariomycetes, Sordariales, Lasiosphaeriaceae. The record is from the annotation of a GenBank genome assembly.
GGGAUUAUAGUAUAGUGGUCAGUAUAUCUCAUUGUGGUGGCAUCAUGUACUCUGAGACGACGCAGGUUCGAUUCCUGCUAAUCCCA